UCAAAGGUUGCAAGUACACAUCUAUUCCAUUUUUUGGAUUACGCGGGCCAGGAAUAACACAAUUCAGAAAUAUAUAGAGACUAGUUAUCAAUAUUUUAGGAGGAAGAUUAUAAGGAGUGAUAAAUACAGGCCAACAUGAAUAUGGCGCACCACCAACUGAAAAGGGAGAGAACCCAUCCGCACAUAAUCCCAAUCAAAUGUUUCGUGGAUCAGCUGGAAAAUCUGGAUAAGUUGCAUUAAAAUACUUCCAAGCCUCUCCAUCAGAUGGAUGACACAUAACACCAGGGGCCCUUCAAUUUUCACUAUGCCAUCUCAUAUGAGGAGCUGAGAUGUAGGAAGUAUACAAC
RNAcentral lists this long non-coding RNA (347 nucleotides) under Capsicum annuum. RNAcentral describes it as "long non-coding RNA (CANN_LNC000419)". Lineage: Eukaryota; Viridiplantae; Streptophyta; Magnoliopsida; Solanales; Solanaceae. The record is from RNAcentral.